AUUGAACGCUGGCGGCAGGCUUAACACAUGCAAGUCGAGCGGAGUGAUGGUGCUUGCACUAUCACUUAGCGGCGGACGGGUGAGUAAUGCUUAGGAAUCUGCCUAUAGUGGGGGACAACAUCUCGAAAGGGAUGCUAAUACCGCAUACGUCCUACGGGAGAAAGCAGGGGAUAACUUGUGACCAUGCGCUCAUAGAUGAGCCUAAGUCGGAUUAGCUAGUUGGUGGGGUAAAGGCCUACCAAGGCGACGAGCUGUAGCGGGUCCGAGAGGAUGAUCCGCCACACUGGGACUGAGACACGGCCCAGACUCCUACGGGAGGCAGCAGUGGGGAAUAUUGGACAAUGGGGGGAACCCUGGUCCAGCCAUGCCGCGUGUGUGAAGGAGGCCUUAUGGUUGUAAAGCACUUUAAGCGAGGAGGAGGCUCUUUUGGUUAAUACCCAAGAUGAGUGGACGUUACUCGCAGAAUAAGCACCGGCUAACUCUGUGCCAGCCGCCGCCGUAA
Molecule: ribosomal RNA, 502 nt
Filed under: uncultured bacterium
Lineage: Bacteria
Description: partial 16S ribosomal RNA
Rfam family: Bacterial small subunit ribosomal RNA
Source: RNAcentral